GUAUUGUACUGUGGCUGUUAGGGAUUAUGUGGUUCUUUAGCCACUAAGGACGGUGCAAUUAAAUGUAAGAGAAUGAUAAAUCGCUCUGAAAAAUUUGUCCCCCUCACUUCUGAGAUGGUGGUUACGCCCAUGGGAGAGUCAGUCCAUCGUCGUUGACAAAAUGAGCCAAUUAAGGAAACGAAGCAGCAUUUGGAUGCACUUUUCUCUCGUGGCAGACAGUAAGGGUAAAUGCAGUAUUUGUCAAAAAAAUAUUUCUAAGUCAGGCUCCACAAAUAAUUUGCACAGACACCUGAAAACUCAACAUUCAACAGUAAAAGUGGCAGACUUUAAAAUCUAAUCCACACUUGUCAAAUAAGGUUAUAAUCAAUAUUUCAGAAGAAUUCAAACUCAUAUUGGUGGGAUAUCUAAAUUCAUUCCUCCCAGUGAUUAUUUCCAAGAUUAAAUGAGUUAAGGCCAGACUGGCUUUUUAAAAUUUAAUAAAUAUAAAAAUGAGCCAAAUGAGCCAGUUUUUUGAACGGCUCUUUGAAAGGAACGGCUCACCAAGAUCCAGCUCCCCUCAAAGAGCCAUAAAUCCCAUCUCUAGCGGACAGAGUAAAACAAUAACAGAAAUGUUUGCUGUAGCCGCUGCCGGUCCAUCACAGGCACAGGGGCCACCUGUUGAUGCAGAGGCUGAGCCAACAAGCGAGGAUGAGGAUGCAGAUCGAUGUGAAGAAAGCGAGGCUGGAGAGGUCCUCGGCCGUGGUGACGUCCAAGCCGGUGAUGUCUCCGAUCCUCUGGUUGAUUUUAUCCAACACCGGAUGUUCAUAUGCUUUGAGCCAGGCGCUGACAGAACAGAGAGGAAUCCAGAAAACAGCAGCAGGACAAACAGAAACCAGUUUUGUGCUCUUGCCAGGACGUGAGCCGACACAGUGGGGAGGACAGGUGAGGACCAGAGAGGGGAGGUUGGCUGGCCGUCUUCCCCACAGACGGGCCUCGUUCUCAGGCAGCUCUUACCUCUGACUGAUGCGGUAAUGGGGCGUCUUCCCACCAACAACCCCGGAUCGAUGCAGCUGUGGAGCCAAUUGGUCGGCAGUUACAGGGAGAACCAAAUCUACCACUGAAGAACCGACUAACUUCUACUCACUCUGAGAUUUAAGGACUAAAAUACCGACCAGAAUACAGGACAACACUUUUUACAACAUCUGUUAGUGAGAAAUUAACUUUUCUAUGGACAGAUUUUGAGUACAGGAGGUCCUCGGUUUACGACGUCCUCGACUUACGGCGUUUUGUCACUAUGUUGUAACUGGUUCAGUGGAACUAGCUGGUGAGCAGAGCAGACGAAUACUGUAUGUGCAGUCGUCAAGCGGUGUUAUAAGAUGGCUUUGCUCACAUUUGCUGCCACACUUGAUCAUGCUACAUUUGCUGACUUCAUUAUGGCUCCCAAGAAUCAGUCAGACGUACAGUUCACAUUUUCACCGGUAUUUUUUGUCUUUCACUGUGAGCUACUGACUGUCUGUGUUACUGUAGUUGUACAAAUAUGUAAACUGAUCGAUAUCGUGAUGCAUGGAACGGCUUUGUUUACAUUCCAAGUUACGAUUUGAGCAGGGCACGAGGCGGGACCUCGACACCACAUCUACAACACGUCGGCCAUCUUUAUACACAGUCUGUUAACAUAAGAGCACAAUCUGUAGGUGAUACGCAACUUGCUAGCUAGACAGCUCACAGUUUUUUAUCAAUGUGUUUGUAGGGCUACAUUUUUUGUAAACUGACGGCUAAUGUUAUAGAUAGCGAGCUAAGAGUUCCAUCAAUCUACAGGAAAAAGUACUUUAUAUGCAGCUAAUUAGCAAGAUAGUUAGCAGUUCAUAAUCAAUGUCUGUUAAAGGCUGAUUUGAUGAGCAAAUUAAUGUUAAUGUUAUAGCUAGAAAAUUAAGAACACAUUCAAACUAUAGGAAAAUGUAGUUGGCAAGCAGCUAGCUAGACAGAUAGUAUUUUUUAUGAUUGUGGUCUGAAGGCUAAUUCUUGAGUUAAUGCUUACGGUACAGCUAACAUGCUACACGUUCCAGCAGUCUGUGAGGAGACGUACACUGUAAAAUCCAAAAGCUGUCCUGACAUGCAAACAUGAGUUAACUUUACUAAGUUAUCAAAAAAAAGCAUUUAUUACUGAUAUUUAUGAAGUAACAGUCACUUGCAUGGUGAAAAAUGCAAAAUACUUAGUGCUUAGAUUGAGGAUUACUUUAUUUAUAGUUAAGCUCACUCGCAACAAUAAGUAGCAAUCACAGUCUCUCUCACGACUGAUCCACACCCGGGUCAGUAGGUGGUGGUAAUGCCCAAUGUAAAGGUGGCCAACCGCCGUUAACUCCACAAAGAAGAAGGAAGACAUUCACUCCAUAGAUAUGAUUCAUAUGAUUCAGUAGAUACUCAUAUCUAUGAUUCACUCUCCCGCUCAGCUACCGAGGCACCGGUACAGCACACAGGCCGGAGCAGCGAGGGCAACCUGCCGAGUUGAGUUUUGUUUGUGACAAACGUCAUUCUUUUGCAGAAAGGUAAGGUACAUUAUCCAUAAUUUUGCCUGUCAACUUGUUUUAAUUACUGCUACAACCUUAAGCGUUAGCGAGCUAAUGUUAGCCUAACCACUAAUACCGCUAGCGGGUGUUAGCAUCCACUAGCUAGCCGAAAGUUUCAGACUUCAGAGAAAAAAGUCAGAUCUGAGAAAUUCUGACUUUUUUUCCCUCAGAAUUUUGACUUUUUCCCAGAGCAGAUUUUUUUUUAACCGCUGUAUUGUUAUGUUUUUGUUCAGUGGCUCUAAUACUCGUCCCAUCUUCUGUAGUUUUGUCAUUCUGUGUCGUGACUAUAAACUAAAUGGCAGUCUGCUAAUUACUACUGUAAUAAAAUUAAACAAAUGGUUGUGAAUAGAUUUUUCCACACUGGCCCAACCCUGUUAACUUACCAUUGCCUUUUGCUGGGUUGCAGGUGUAUGACGAGUUCAACAGGGUAGUCACUAAGAACUUACAGAUGGACUUUUUUUGAGGCCCUCGACACUUUGUUGAGAUGUUCAAGGCAAAGAAAGGAAGUGUGGGGCAGACCCUGACAGAGUUGUUGCAGCAAGUUGAUGCUGGGAAUCCAGAUUUGACGGCAAUGCGCACCGUUGUGCUCCGAGGCCUCCCUGUUCUACUUGGUGAUGAUCCCAGUGACUUCUACAACACCUGCCUUGAUUGUGACAUGAUGAGACGUGGGCAAAAGUAUCUGUCGGGGUGCUGACUGUUGUCAGUGAAGAUGAGCAAGUCGUUCCAAAUCAGCUCCACCUUCACCCAAUAUCUACUGCCAUCAUUGUUGAGGGAGGUAUUGUAAUGGACGAUGUCCAGAACCUGCCUGAGGCACUUUGCCUUUUGUUUGGAUUGUCAUACGCUUUACAUUUAGACUACCCAAAGGCCAUGAAAAACACUUUGGGGGCAGUCAGGGGGAGGAGUUAAAUCCGCUUAUUUCGUCAUAAGCGGACCCAAAUCAAAAUCGGGGGAGGAAACAGACAGUUUUCAAAUUCGAACCUCAUAAUGAGCUACUGCAACACACACUACUGUAAGAACACUUUCACAAAGUGAGGUUUGCAUAAUAUGUCCCCUUUAAUGGACACCGAUCUCAGACAUUCAAACUAGAACGGGGAUGUAGGCAAGGCUGCUCUCUGUCUCCUUUACUUUUUGCCAUCAGUAUUGAGCCAUUGGCGCAGCUCAUAAGGGAUAAUGACAACAUCAAAGGUGUACAAAUAGAUAAAGAAACCCAUAAAAUAUCACUGUAUGCGGAUGAUGUAUUACUGUAUUUAACAGAGCCUUCUGUUAAGUUAUUAAACAGUAUGGGUAUUACUCUAGUUAUAAAGUAAAUGUAGAUAAAACUGAAGUGAUGGACGUGAACAAUCUUAUCUCAAGCAACUUCAAAACUCAAAGUGAAUUUAGAUGGCCUAAAGAAGGUCUCAAAUAUUUAGGCAUUUAUAUACCCCCGUCUUUAGAGAACUUAUAUCACGCAAAUUACGAUAAAAUAAUUAAGAAUAUAAAUAGUGAUUUAGAACGAUGGUCCUCUCUUCCACUUUCUUUACUGGGACAAGUGGAGAGUAUACGCAUGAACGUUCUGCCCCGACUUCUCUACCUAUUUCAAAUGUUACCUGUGAACGUCUUGACAAAAACAUUUGACCAACUAAGCAAAUUAAUAAUGCAUUCAUAUGGCAGAAAAAAACGCCCAAGAAUUAGACUUAAAACUCUACAACUGUCCAAACCAGAUGGAGGCCUCAAACUUCCCAACUUAAAAUUUUACUUCUGGGCCGCGCAGCUCAAACCAUUGAUAGCAUGGAUUCAGAAUGAUGUAACAACUCGAUGGUACAACACUGAAAAUUAUAUGUGUGUAAAUUCUUCACAAAAUCUACCCUUUUCAGAUAUUUCAGUAAAGGAAACGUAAAUUUGGACAAAAAAUACAUUGAAGGUUUGGAGAAGGAUACAAACAUUUUUCGGGCUGACAAAUUCACUUUCAUUAUUGAUAAAUAUUGGAUUAAUGAAUACGUUCAUACCAAACAAACUCGAUAACACCUUCAAGAAAUGGACUGAUCAUAACUUAACUUAUAUAUAUCAGCUUGUCAAAAAUGGCCACUUUAAAACAUUUGGUUAAUUAAAAAAUGAAUUUGGUUUAUCUAACUCAGACUUCUUUAGAUAUCUGCAAUUGAGAUCCUUUUUGACAACCCAUAAAGAUUGGAGGCAGCUGGUAAAGCUUAACCAUAUAGAAAAUGUUAUUAGUCAACUGGAAAAUUCGGAUAAGAAAACAAUUGGCAAACUGUAUAAUAUAUUUUUGGGAAUUUCCAAAAUUAAUUCUCAAUAUAUAAAGUAGAGAUGGGAACCAGAGACAGCCACAAAUAUUGUGUGAACAGCGAUAUCACGCGAUAAAAACACAUGAUAUAAACAGAAAAUAAAUAAACCACACCUCAUUUCGCUUCUACAAGGUCGCUCUGCUUGACCCAGCCACAUUGCUCUGUGAUUUAUAGACUUCUAGCAUGGUUGAGUACAUGAUUUAUGUUUUGAUCUCAAAUGAGUGCUUUUCUUUAUCCAAUAGUUAAUUUUGUGUGGUUUAUUCUAUAUAAAAACGGUAAUUUCUCUUCACCCAUGGCGUCGUGUUGGGACAUAAUUAAUAAAGUAGUAAAUUUGUAUAACAAUUAUUAAAAUUAAAUUAUACAUCAACUUUUGGUACAUUUGUGCAUAAAAUAUUCGGUCCAGUAAAAACUGUUUCGGUCCAGUAAAAAAUUACUGUUUACUGGUCCACGGUCCAGUAAUAAAUUGUGCCCAUUCGCGCAGACUGUAUUGUCAACAUGUGAUUGUCGUCUGAUAUUCAGGCCGAUACAUCCAGCAGCCCUGAAAACUCUCUGCUCACUUAAAUCUGUGAGAGAUGGUUCAGAGGAAGCCAGGAAAAUGCUGGAGUGUUGAUAAUCUCUGAAAGUGAUUAUAUAUUAUUAUAAAAUAACCAAACAUGGUGAAUAUUAAAUAUUUCUGCAGUAAAAAUGAGACUAACUCUGUCAGUGAAAGCUUCUUUUCCAGCCGAUGUUUGGACUCACCCUGGGUUUGGCCAGCUCUUUGACCUUCUCCAUCUCUUUGUCCGACACGAUGUUGUGGUAGCGGAUGAUGCGCGGACGGUCCCACUCGUCUUCCUGCCUCACCGGACCAAUCACGUACCUCGGGUGGUGGUUGUUGUCGUAGUAACGGCAGAAGAGGCGGCUCUGUCUCCGAGGAGUCUGACAGAAGGAAGAGUGAAGUGAUAAACUGACUGAUGUUGGCGUUCACAAAUUAUACAAAGUAAAACUCCAGUAUCUUUUUGUUUUUGCAUCAUAACAUUAUGGCUAGAGGGCAACAGGUUCUAGCAAUCACUGGACAGGAGUAGUUGAUAUGUAGCUAGCUAGCAAGACAGCUAGCAGUUCUUAACCACAGUCUGUGUCACAGCUUAAGGUUGUGGGCGGUAGCAGCGCUCUCUCCUCCUCUGGCCUUGCUUUCUCUCUCUCUCCCAGGUGUGCUGGCGGCAGGUGUAGUGUUUUGUUAGCAGAUCGUGUGCAGGUGGGAGCCAGCUAAUUACUCACUCUGGCUCCUCCAUAAGACCAGAUGCCACUCGUCAUUUGAUGCCGGACCGUCAUCUUACUUCCAAGCUGACUACUGCCUGCUUCUGCCACCUGGAUUCUUUGUCGGCUGCUGGUUCUCCAUUCCUCUAUGGAUUCCGUUCUCUCCUGAAGAGACUCUGCCAGCCUCGCCACCUGGAAUGCCAGUUAUCCUGCCUUAUCCACAGACGCCAAACACACCACCACGGCGUCGUUAAAAUCUGGGAAUGAGCUGUUCAUUCUAAAAGGACUGGAUGGAGCCUGGCUCCCAAGUUGGACAUUCGUCUUGCUCUAAGUCUGUUAAGUUUCUCAAGCCCUAGCAACACAAGACUGUAGUUCUCCUAGUUUAUUCCAUCUUCUGUCUAGUGUAGAAUAGUUCAUAGUCUUGGGCUCUUUGUCAGGAUUUCUGUCAGCCUAGGAUUCUGUGUUUAUUCUGGUUUCGUUAGUUUACUUUGCUCUCCUGUUUUGGUAUUAUCAUACGUGGGUUAACUUUUUGUUCUUUCACUUCCUGUCAUUAGACCUCCUACCCUCUAGAGGGUUUCUCCACCAGUCUGCCUUCAGCGGUUUAGUCCGCGCUUCCGUUUCUGGUUUAUCUAGUUCUGGUAGAGAUUUGAAGUUCUUGCAUUUUCUUCUGUGUUGUAAAUAAAAGCAUUCUAAAACUGUA
This is a long non-coding RNA of Acanthochromis polyacanthus (spiny chromis), 6755 nucleotides long. RefSeq lists it as uncharacterized. The transcript is spliced from 6 exons. The record is from RefSeq and is a predicted model, not a curated record. NCBI's taxonomy places the organism in Eukaryota, Metazoa, Chordata, Actinopteri, Pomacentridae.